GAAGCAGGCCAGACAGUCGCUGGCGAUCGCAAGAUCGCGGGAGGAAGGUCCGGACUCCAUAGAGCAGGGUGACGGCUAACGGCCGUCCGCCGUGAGGCGCGGAAUAGGGCCACAGAGACGAGCGUAUUCAGUUACGGUGAAACGCGGUAACCUCCACCCGGAGCAAUUCCAAAUAGGCACGCGUUGAUGUGGCUCGCGGAGCGUGCGGGUAGGAAGCUUGAGCGCCGGAGUAAUCCGGUGCCUAGAGGAAUGACUGUCACGCCGAUUGCAAGAUCGAUGCACAGAAUCCGGCCUAUCGGCCUACUUCACAU
Molecule: RNase P RNA, 311 nt
Filed under: Oxalobacteraceae bacterium
Lineage: Bacteria; Pseudomonadati; Pseudomonadota; Betaproteobacteria; Burkholderiales; Oxalobacteraceae
Description: RNase P RNA component class A
Rfam family: Bacterial RNase P class A
About the family: Ribonuclease P (RNase P) is a ubiquitous endoribonuclease, found in archaea, bacteria and eukarya as well as chloroplasts and mitochondria. Its best characterised activity is the generation of mature 5'-ends of tRNAs by cleaving the 5'-leader elements of precursor-tRNAs.
Source: RNAcentral